GGAGGGUGCAAGCGUUAUCCGGAUUCACUGGGUUUAAAGGGUGCGUAGGCGGGUAAGUAAGUCCGUGGUGAAAUCUCUGAGCUUAACUCAGAAACUGCCGUGGAUACUAUUUGUCUUGAAUAUUGUGGAGGUGAGCGGAAUAUGUCAUGUAGCGGUGAAAUGCUUAGAUAUGACAUAGAACACCAAUUGCGAAGGCAGCUCACUACACAAUCAUUGACGCUGAGGCACGAAAGCGUGGGGAUCAAACAGGAUUAGAUACCCUGGUAGUCCACGCCCUAAACGAUGAUUACUCGACAUCAGCGAUACACUGUUGGUGUCUGAGCGAAAGCAUUAAGUAAUCCACCUGGGAAGUACGAUCGCAAGAUUG
Molecule: ribosomal RNA, 367 nt
Filed under: uncultured bacterium
Lineage: Bacteria
Description: bacterial SSU rRNA
Rfam family: Bacterial small subunit ribosomal RNA
Source: RNAcentral